This 1501-nucleotide ribosomal RNA is filed under the name uncultured bacterium. RNAcentral's name for it is "bacterial SSU rRNA". It matches the Rfam family "Bacterial small subunit ribosomal RNA". The record is from RNAcentral.
AUUGAGAGUUUGAUCCUGGCUCAGGAUGAACGCUAGCGGCAGGCCUAACACAUGCAAGUCGAACGGUAACGGGGAUCUGUUUACAGAUUCGCCGACGAGUGGCGGAUGGGUGAGUAUCGCGUAUGCAAUCUUCAUUAUGCUAAGGAAUAGCCAGGGGAAACCCUGAUUAAUGCCUUAUAGUUUGCUUAAUCGGCAUCGAUCUAGCAAUAAAGAUUUAUCGGCAUAAUAUGAGCAUGCGUCUUAUUAGUUUGUAGGUAAGGUAACGGCUUACCUAGACUACGAUAAGUAGGGGCCCUGAGAGGGGGAUCCCCCACACUGGAACUGAGACACGGUCCAGACUCCUACGGGAGGCAGCAGUGAGGAAUAUUGGUCAAUGGACGCAAGUCUGAACCAGCCAUGCCGCGUGCAGGAUGACUGCCUUAUGGGUUGUAAACUGCUUUUGAUUAGGAAGAAAUGUGCCCACGAGUUGGGUACUUGACGGUACUGAUCGAAUAAGGAUCGGCUAACUCCGUGCCAGCAGCCGCGGUAAUACGGAGGAUCCAAGCGUUAUCCGGAAUCAUUGGGUUUAAAGGGUUCGUAGGCGGAUAGAUCAGUCAGCGGUGAAAGUUUAUGGCUUAACCAUAAAAUUGCCGUUGAUACUGUUUAUCUUGAAUAAGUGUGAAGUGGUUAGAAUGAGUAGUGUAGCGGUGAAAUGCAUAGAUAUUACUCGGAAUACCAAUUGCGAAGGCAGAUCACUAACACUUUAUUGACGCUGAGGAACGAAAGCGUGGGGAGCAAACAGGAUUAGAUACCCUGGUAGUCCACGCCGUAAACGAUGGAUACUAGUUGUUCGAGUUACAUUGGUAACUUGAGUGACUAAGCGAAAGUGAUAAGUAUCCCACCUGGGGAGUACGUUCGCAAGAAUGAAACUCAAAGGAAUUGACGGGGGCCCGCACAAGCGGUGGAGCAUGUGGUUUAAUUCGAUGAUACGCGAGGAACCUUACCAGGGCUUAAAUGUAGUCUGACAGGGGUGGAAACAUCCCCUUCUUCGGACAGACUACAAGGUGCUGCAUGGUUGUCGUCAGCUCGCGCCGUGAGGUGUCAGGUUAAGUCCUAUAACGAGCGCAACCCCUGUCGUUAGUUGCCAGCGAGUCAUGUCGGGAACUCUAACGAGACUGCCAGUGCAAACUGUGAGGAAGGUGGGGAUGACGUCAAAUCAUCACGGCCCUUACGUCCUGGGCUACACACGUGCUACAAUGGUAGGGACAGAGAGCAGCCACUGGGUGACCAGGAGCGAAUCUAUAAACCCUAUCUCAGUUCGGAUCGAAGUCUGCAACUCGACUUCGUGAAGCUGGAAUCGCUAGUAAUCGCAGAUCAGCCAUGCUGCGGUGAAUACGUUCCCGGGCCUUGUACACACCGCCCGUCAAGCCAUGGAAGCUGGGGGUACCUGAAGUUGGUGACCGCAAGGAGCCACCUAGGGUAAAACCGGUAACUAGGGCUAAGUCGUAACAAGGUAGCCGUA